Molecule: non-coding RNA, 120 nt
Organism: Acanthosepion pharaonis
Lineage: Eukaryota; Metazoa; Mollusca; Cephalopoda; Sepiida; Sepiidae
Source: the annotation of a GenBank genome assembly
UUGCGACCACAUCGCGUUUAUACCGAAGUUCCCGUAUGAUCACCGAAGUUAAGCAACGUUGAGCCAGUAACUAGUCAAUAACUAGAUGGGUGACCGCUUGGGAAUACCAGGUGCUGUAAG